Xenia sp. Carnegie-2017 is the source of this 300-nucleotide long non-coding RNA. RefSeq lists it as uncharacterized. The transcript has 2 exons. The record is from RefSeq and is a predicted model, not a curated record. NCBI's taxonomy places the organism in Eukaryota, Metazoa, Cnidaria, Anthozoa, Malacalcyonacea, Xeniidae.
CUUUCAAAGCCACACAAAAAGUAAUAGCAUUUUCGACGAUUAGCUGCGAUAGUCAGACUGGUUCUCGUAUUGUCAAGAAUAUGCUCUGAUUUGCCGUUCCUUCGCAUCUGUCUACUAUCAUAUCGUCUCCUAGAGGAACUAAUGAUUCGCCCUCAUACGGUACAGGUUCUAACUGAUUUGGGUGCAACAUGAGAAAUGUUAUGAUAAACAAUUUGGUAAAGGGAAAGUAGAAAACAUCCCAACAAUGAACUAAGUUGAGAAGUUAAAUUUCAUACUGACACAAUAAAGAGUAGUUUGAAC